RNAcentral lists this ribosomal RNA (253 nucleotides) under uncultured bacterium. RNAcentral's name for it is "partial 16S ribosomal RNA". It matches the Rfam family "Bacterial small subunit ribosomal RNA", at positions 524 to 776 of the family's 1533-position model. The record is from RNAcentral.
UACGUAGGGGGCUAGCGUUGUCCGGAUUCAUUGGGCGUAAAGCGCGUGUAGGCGGCCCGGUAAGUCCGCUGUGAAAGUCGGGGGCUCAACCCUCGAAUGCCGGUGGAUACUGUCGGGCUAGAGUGCGGAAGAGGCGAGUGGAAUUCCUGGUGUAGCGGUGAAAUGCGCAGAUAUCAGGAGGAACACCAAUUGCGAAGGCAGCUCGCUGGGACGUGACUGACGCUGAGACGCGAAAGCGUGGGGAGCAAACAGG